Alligator mississippiensis (American alligator) is the source of this 1466-nucleotide long non-coding RNA. RefSeq lists it as uncharacterized. The record is from RefSeq and is a predicted model, not a curated record. Lineage: Eukaryota; Metazoa; Chordata; Crocodylia; Alligatoridae. The transcript is spliced from 2 exons.
CCCACCAGGAACCAAACUUGCUCCGUACUGACACUGAAACAAAAGCCUGCUUGGAUUCGGACUUCCCCCAACGGGGCGAGGAACGAGCACUGAGCGCUGCCUGUUCACAGCCAGUUUCUCCACCAAAAGUGACCACCACAUAAGCAACCACACCAGCUAGGAUCUCUGCAGGGAAAACGAGCCCCAUAACGAGCUUGGGCUCAGUCUCAGCUGCGCCCAAUUUGCUCCCUCCACCUGGCCAGCACCUGACUGGCCCCAGGCCUGCUGGGGGAUAUAGGGCAGUUUGCCGGCAGCGUGCCUCAUGGCUGCGGGGCUCGCAGGCGUCAGGCCCCAGCUCCCUGCAGGGAGGAUAGCACCUUGCUGUGGAGGCUCCCACGUAACCGGCGCUGGUUCCCUGAACUACAGAGGCUAAAGAACGGGCCCGUGCCGGGCUCGGACACCGAGGAGGAGGUUUCACACACGUUUCGUUCGACUAAGACCAGUUCCCGAGCCGUGAUCCACAGAGGCUGGGGCCCCGGCUCGGCCCCGCGGGGCCAGAGCCGUCCCGUCACGUCGCGUCGCGUCCAGGUCCCAGCGGGAGCCGGGCGCAGCCUCUCCGGGCUGGUGCGGCGGCGCCCGGGUGCCUGUCCUCUGCAUCAUAGGUGCGGCCAGGGCUCGCCCGCUUCCUGACAGACAGAGCCAGCGUAGCAGAGACCAGAGAGAGAGUUUCCUGGGCACUAAGGUUUUUGCCACUUUGAAGAAGGUAUCGAAUCUUUUGCCAAACGGGUGACGCCACGUGGGACUCGCUGCCUCGCGGAGCCGUGCGCGGGGCUGGCUCCGCGCGGGCACCUGCAGCCAGGCCCGAGCUCUGGUUUGGGAGGAGCAGGAGGCCGGGGCUGGGGCAGAGCCGCGAUCACCGAGGACCAGGCCAGGCUGACGGUCCCUGGGGCGCUUUAAACGAAGGGACCGGUGGCGGCUGGGCAAGGACGGGGAGAAGGGGUGGCGGGCACUGGGCGGGAGCCCGAGCGCGGGGCCUGCGCAGCCACGUGCGUGGGACGGCUGCGGGGGCACGCCUGCUUGCGCCUCAUCAGCCCACGUUCAAGGCGCCGCGCGCAGGAGGAAGGGAAACUAUUCCAAAGAUGCACUUUGGUUUAACAAAGGCAGCUUCGCCUGGGAGAUGGAAUAUAAGACCCCCCCGGGUGGGUUGUUUUUGUUCCCUUGAAACCCCUGGUAACUUAAAACUGAGAUGGUUCUAGGUUGAUGCAAUAAAUAGGUAGACCGAUUUGAAAUUGAGAGAGAGAGAGAGAGAAAUAGUAAAAGAAAAAAAAGCCUCAGUGAAAUUCUCUUUCCAGCUUGACUACAGCCUGAUUCUUCACAGAUCAACAGGAGUCUCCAAAAUCAGCUGCAGCAGCCCUCUGCUCACUGGGCUUGGUUAAUAAAGCACUAAAUCACUUAGCCUUUGGCAUACGGUUAAGACAACAAAACAA